UACGUAGGGUGCGAGCGUUAAUCGGAAUCAUUGGGCGUAAAGCGGGCGUAGGUGGCUAUGUAAGUCAGGAGUGAAAGCCCUGGGCUCAACCCAGGAAGUGCUUUUGAAACUGCGUAGCUUGAGUGUGGAAGAGGAUAGUGGAAUUCCAGGUGUAGUGGUGAAAUACGUAGAUAUCUGGAGGAACACCGGUGGCGAAGGCGGCUAUCUGGUCCAACACUGACACUGAGGCCCGAAAGCGUGGGGAUCAAACAGG
This 253-nucleotide ribosomal RNA is filed under the name uncultured bacterium. RNAcentral's name for it is "partial 16S ribosomal RNA". It matches the Rfam family "Bacterial small subunit ribosomal RNA", at positions 524 to 776 of the family's 1533-position model. The record is from RNAcentral.